Long non-coding RNA from Entelurus aequoreus (snake pipefish), 583 nucleotides. RefSeq lists it as uncharacterized. NCBI's taxonomy places the organism in Eukaryota, Metazoa, Chordata, Actinopteri, Syngnathiformes, Syngnathidae. The record is from RefSeq and is a predicted model, not a curated record. The transcript has 5 exons.
CGCAUAACAAUGGGAAAGGCGGGGAGAAGAGGCGGCUGCUUUCGUAUGUGUGGGAAAGUUUUGGCGACGAGGACGACGUGUAAAGCGUGAAAAAGGCAUUCCUGGAAAGUGCAAUUACAUCUUUUUUCUGAAAACAGGACGACCCCAACUGAGAUAGUGACUAGAGCAAAAAGCGCCGACAUUUGAGAUGGCGGGCGACGACCAGCUGAGCCACAAAGAGACGGGUGACGUCCGCCUUUUGGAAGGCUGAUUUGACCAACAUUUACCAAUUACAGGACUGCAGGAAUAAGGAAGAAAAGCUCUGACUCUUGGGGAGAAGUCGUUUGACGUCUGGAGAUCCGGGCUCUUGCUGUUUGUUGGAACAUCUGCAUGUGGGGUUCCUUUUUUUCCUGUGCUUGCGGGCGCCGUGAGGGGAUGGUGUAGGAACAGGACCAUUUUAAGAACCCCUGACUGACAGGGGCACCAAAAAAUAGGAUUGUGUCCGCGUGAUUGGGAUUUUUUUUAAACAAGUACAGUCAACAUAGAAAUAGAAGGAUGGACACAUGUCAGUCCAGUAUUUGUUGCCCGGUGGGAUACAUUGUGG